Molecule: ribosomal RNA, 496 nt
Filed under: uncultured bacterium
Lineage: Bacteria
Description: partial 16S ribosomal RNA
Rfam family: Bacterial small subunit ribosomal RNA
Source: RNAcentral
GAUGAACGCUGGCGGCGUGCCUAAUACAUGCAAGUCGAGCGAACAGACGAGGAGCUUGCUCCUCUGACGUUAGCGGCGGACGGGUGAGUAACACGUGGAUAACCUACCUAUAAGACUGGGAUAACUUCGGGAAACCGGAGCUAAUACCGGAUAAUAUAUUGAACCGCAUGGUUCAAUAGUGAAAGACGGUUUUGCUGUCACUUAUAGAUGGAUCCGCGCCGCAUUAGCUAGUUGGUAAGGUAACGGCUUACCAAGGCAACGAUGCGUAGCCGACCUGAGAGGGUGAUCGGCCACACUGGACCUGAGACACGGUCCAGACUCCUACGGGAGGCAGCAGUAGGGAAUCUUCCGCAAUGGGCGAAAGCCUGACGGAGCAACGCCGCGUGAGUGAUGAAGGUCUUCGGAUCGUAAAACUCUGUUAUUAGGGAAGAACAAAUGCGUAAGUAACUAUGCACGUCUUGACGGUACCUAAUCAGAAAGCCACGGCUAACUACGU